UUAAGUGACUAAGCGUAUGUGGUGGAUGCCUUGGCAGUUAGAGGCGAUGAAGGACGUGUUAAUCUGCGAAAAGCUUAGGUAAGGUGAUAAAAACCGUUACAGCCUAAGAUAUCCGAAUGGGGAAACCCACCCAACGUAAGUUGGGUAUCAUUAAGUGAAUACAUAGCUUAAUGAAGCGAACCAGGAGAACUGAAACAUCUAAGUACCCUGAGGAAAAGAAAUCAACCGAGAUUUCGUUAGUAGCGGCGAGCGAACGCGAAUCAGCCCUUAAGCUUAUUGGGCGCUAGUAGAAUCUACUGGAAAGUAGAACGAUACAGGGUGAUAGUCCCGUAUACUAAAGCAACCUUUAAGUGAAAUCGAGUAGGACGGAGCACGUGAAACUUUGUCUGAAUAUGGGGGGACCAUCCUCCAAGGCUAAAUACUACUAACUGACCGAUAGUGAACCAGUACCGUGAGGGAAAGGCGAAAAGAACCCCUGUGAGGGGAGUGAAAUAGAACCUGAAACCGCAUACGUACAAGCAGUGGAAGCCGGAUUUAGUCCGGUGACUGCGUACCUUUUGUAUAAUGGGUCAGCGACUUAUAUUCUGUAGCAAGGUUAACCGAUUAGGGGAGCCGUAGCGAAAGCGAGUGUUAACUGCGCGUUUAGUUGCAGGGUAUAGACCCGAAACCCGGCGAUCUACCCAUGGGCAGGUUGAAGGUUGAGUAACAUCAACUGGAGGACCGAACACACGUAUGUUGAAAAAUGCGGUGAUGACUUGUGGGUCGGAGUGAAAGGCUAAUCAAGCCGGGAGAUAGCUGGUUCUCCCCGAAAUCUAUUUAGGUAGAGCCUCGCACGAACACCAUUGGGGGUAGAGCACUGUUAAGGCUAGGGGGUCAUCCCGACUUACCAACCCUUUGCAAACUCCGAAUACCAAUGAGUGAUAUGCGGGAGACACACUGCGGGUGCUAACGUCCGUUGUGAAGAGGGAAACAACCCAGACCGCCAGCUAAGGUCCCAAAGUACUAGUUAAGUGGGAAACGAUGUGGAAAGGCAUAGACAGCUAGGAGGUUGGCUUAGAAGCAGCCAUCCUUUAAAGAAAGCGUAAUAGCUCACUAGUCGAGUCGGUCUGCGCGGAAGAUGUAACGGGGCUAAACUAGUCACCGAAGCUGCGGAUUCUUAAUUUAUUAAGAGUGGUAGGGGAGCGUUCUGUAAGCCGUUGAAGGUGAAUUGAGAAGUUUGCUGGAGGUAUCAGAAGUGCGAAUGCUGACAUGAGUAACGAUAAGGGGAGUGAAAAACUCCCCCGCCGAAAGACCAAGGUUUCCUGUCCCAUGUUAAUCAGGGCAGGGUAAGUCGGCCCCUAAGGCGAGGCGGAAACGCGUAGUCGAUGGGAAACAGAUUAAUAUUUCUGUACUUCUAUAUAUUGCGAAGGAGGGACGGAGUAGGCUAAAUGAGCACNNNNNNNNUUGAUGCCAUGCUUCCAGGAAAAGCUUCUAAGCUUCAGAUAUAUAGGAACCGUACCCCAAACCGACACAGGUGGUUAGGUAGAGAAUACUAAGGCGCUUGAGAGAACUCGGGUGAAGGAACUAGGCAAAAUAGUACCGUAACUUCGGGAGAAGGUACGCUGCUCACGGUGAUGGAACUUGCUUCCUAAGCUAAGAGUAGUCGAAGUAACCAGGUGGCUGGAACUGUUUAUUAAAAACACAGCACUGUGCAAAAUCGAAAGAUGACGUAUACGGUGUGACGCCUGCCCGGUGCCGGAAGGUUAAUUGAUUCGGUUAGUCCUCGGACGAAGCUGAUGAUCGAAGCCCCGGUAAACGGCGGCCGUAACUAUAACGGUCCUAAGGUAGCGAAAUUCCUUGUCGGGUAAGUUCCGACCUGCACGAAUGACUCAGUGAAAUUGAAUUUGCGGUUAAGAUGCCGUAUACCCGCGGCUAGACGGAAAGACCCCGUGAACCUUUACUAUAGCUUGACAGUGAACAUUGCUCCUACAUGUGUAGGAUAGGUGGGAGGCUUUGAAACCAUGUCGCUAGAUGUGGUGGAGCCAAUCUUGAAAUACCACCCUUGUAUGCGUGAUGUUCUAACCUAGGGCCCUAAUCGGGCUUGGGGACACUGUCUGGUGGGUAGUUUGACUGGGGCGGUCUCCUCCCAAAGAGUAACGGAGGAGCACGAAGGUUGGCUAAGUACGGUCGGACAUCGUACGGUUAGUGCAAUGGCA
This 2195-nucleotide ribosomal RNA is filed under the name hydrothermal vent metagenome. RNAcentral's name for it is "bacterial LSU rRNA". It matches the Rfam family "Bacterial large subunit ribosomal RNA", at positions 1 to 2359 of the family's 2925-position model. The record is from RNAcentral.